GCUGUCCGGGGAAGCAGCGGCUCCCUGUAUCCGCAAUCCGCUACAGCGGGGGAGACCGGCCGCCCCCGGGAUGCGCCGUGUAUAGCGUCCGGACUGUGAGGCUUAUGACCGGGCGGUCCCGCGCAACGAGAGCCCCCGAACCAUGUCAGGCGGGGAACCGAGCAGCAUUAAGAGGUGUCUUUCGUGUGCCGCGGGAGCGCCGCCCGCGAGGUUUUCGCUUUG
RNAcentral lists this signal recognition particle RNA (222 nucleotides) under bovine gut metagenome. RNAcentral's name for it is "Bacterial large signal recognition particle RNA". It matches the Rfam family "Bacterial large signal recognition particle RNA", at positions 5 to 224 of the family's 256-position model. Rfam says of the family: The signal recognition particle (SRP) is a universally conserved ribonucleoprotein involved in the co-translational targeting of proteins to membranes. Archaeal SRP consists of a 7S RNA and homologues of the eukaryotic SRP19 and SRP54 proteins. In most bacteria, the SRP consists of a 4.5S RNA and the Ffh protein (a homologue of the eukaryotic SRP54 protein). The record is from RNAcentral.